RNAcentral lists this small nuclear RNA (100 nucleotides) under Cebus imitator (Panamanian white-faced capuchin). Lineage: Eukaryota; Metazoa; Chordata; Mammalia; Primates; Cebidae. The record is from RNAcentral.
GCGCUGCUUUGGCAACAUAUAUAUUAAAAUUUGAAUGAUAUGGAGAAGAUUAGCAUAGCCCUUUGCAAUGAUGACACACAAAUUCAUAAAGCAUUCCUUU